CCUUGGUCCAGCCCCAAUGAGCAGCACAUGCUUGGGGCCAGUGGAGGCCAAUGGUUAUAGCCCCAGCCCCAGGGUGGCUGGGGGACACUAGUGGCUGUGGUGCCCUACUGUGCUGCCUCCUUUCUCUUCCCAGGGCUCCUAUUCUGUGGGUGGAGAGAAAGAUGACACUGUGGGCGAUCCAGGUCAUCGUGGCCAUAAUAAGCUUCCUGGAGACGAUGCUUCUCAUCUACCUCAGCUACAAAGU
Molecule: long non-coding RNA, 244 nt
Filed under: Pan troglodytes (chimpanzee)
Lineage: Eukaryota; Metazoa; Chordata; Mammalia; Primates; Hominidae
Description: long non-coding RNA NONPTRT017670
Source: RNAcentral